Molecule: ribosomal RNA, 592 nt
Filed under: Engystomops petersi (Peters' dwarf frog)
Lineage: Eukaryota; Metazoa; Chordata; Amphibia; Anura; Leptodactylidae
Description: partial large subunit ribosomal RNA
Rfam family: Bacterial large subunit ribosomal RNA
Source: RNAcentral
CGCCUGUUUAUCAAAAACAUCGCCUUCUGAUAAACCAUAGAAGGUCCAGCCUGCCCAGUGAAUUAAUUUAACGGCCGCGGUAUCCUAACCGUGCGAAGGUAGCGUAAUCACUUGUUCUUUAAAUGAGGACUAGUAUGAAUGGCACCACGAAGGUUAUACUGUCUCCCUUUUUUGAUCAGUUAAACUAAUCUUCACGUGAAGAAGCGUGAAUAAAUGUAUAAGACGAGAAGACCCUAUGGAGCUUAAAAUUACGCAACAAUUGUUAUUAAUCUUAAAUUUUAUGAAUAAUUUUUUACUAAACACCAUGAUUGCUAAUUUUUGGUUGGGGUGACCGCGGAGUAAAAAUUAACCUCCACAAUGAAAGAAACCAAUAUUCUAAACUAAGAGCUACAACUCAAAGUAUUAAUAUUUUAACAUUCUUUGAUCCAAUUAUUUGAUCAACGAACAAAGUUACCCUAGGGAUAACAGCGCAAUCUACUUUGAGAGCUCCUAUCGACAAGUAGGUUUACGACCUCGAUGUUGGAUCAGGGUAUCCUAGUGGUGCAGCCGCUACUAAUGGUUCGUUUGUUCAACGAUUAAAACCCUACGUGAU